AGUCUAGUGUUGAGCAGUACGUAAUUAAAAUGGCAUUUAUUAAAUUAAAUUGCAAAAGUGCGCUUAUUCUCGACACUUUUUAUAAUUGUGUGCUGUUUUUAAAUUUUCUAUUUUGUUUAGUCCAUUGUGCAUUGCAAACUAGUGAUAAGCGUGGAUAUUUUGUUGGCUGCAAAAUAAAACAAAGUGCGUUCCAAGUGAGGAUCUUGAAGCUUCGAUCGCCCUAAGAUAGCUAUGGUAUCUGGUAUGAGAUCAGAAACUUUCCGAGCCAAGUUGUUAAAAGCAUAAAAAUCGGCGAAUGCAAAAGUGGCAAAUAAAAAUGACAAAAUCGAGGCCCUAGAAUAGAACGACUCUAUAACUUGUAGCCGAAUGAAAAAGUAUCCACAUAGAACACAGGCAAAAAGGAUGCGAGCAGGGGUCCACAACAUUAAAUGUCGAAAAGUGCGACAAUAUUCACGGCAGACAUUGAUGAGCUCCUGUUGUCGUUUGAAGAACUCUUGUAAAUCAUGAAGAUCGGCUGGUUUCGCCAACAACUGUUCCAGAUGAGUCCUUAAUCCCUUGCCACAAAAAUAUAGUUUCCAAAGAAUUUCAUAUUUAAUUAGAGAUAUGGCAAAAACAAUAUUAUGCGAACAGAAUGAAUACAGAAUGUAGAACAUGUGGACCGAACACGAUUCGGGCCAUCGUUUAUAAUUCCAAUAGCACUGAAGUACAACAUUAAAGCAUGUAAUAAAAACUCUUACAUACAGCAUAGUAUAAAGAUAUCUCUGAUCUUUCACAGAUAUUGCGCACAAUACACAGUCGAGAUUAUAACAAUCGUAUGAAGGAAGCAUUGUAACAAAGUUCCAUAAUUAAGCCAAUUUGAAAAUUGUAGGAAUUCAGUUUCCGGAUUUUGUGUCGACAAAUCCAGAAAUACAAAGGGAGUUCCACAUAUCAUUACGAAAUGAUAAACCAUACUGUACACCUUCAAUAUUGUUGAUCUCUUUAAGCGACCCGUUUGUAAUUCGGGAUAAUAGUGAGUUAUUCCAUUUAACGCUUGAAACCAACCGAUAUAAACUUCGACCUUCUUCAUGAUGAUGAGAACUGAAACCGCUUAAGCAAUAAUGUUGCAAUUAAUUUCAUACCGAUAAAAUAUUAUCGAGUAACUGUCACUCUCUAAUUUUAAAUUCCUGCUUCUUCAUGCAGAAACCCUCAACAAUAUGAAAAUUGAUAAUGAACUUUCGAUUCGCACUUUCGUAAUUUUAUCAUUAACUAAAUUGGAUAAUUAACUAUCGUGGCUACAAUCAAGAAGUCUGCCCUCAGUAUUAAAAUAGUAAAACCUUUUAUAACAUACUUUGAGACA
Drosophila sulfurigaster albostrigata is the source of this 1336-nucleotide long non-coding RNA. RefSeq lists it as uncharacterized. The record is from RefSeq and is a predicted model, not a curated record. The transcript has 3 exons. NCBI's taxonomy places the organism in Eukaryota, Metazoa, Arthropoda, Insecta, Diptera, Drosophilidae.